Molecule: ribosomal RNA, 465 nt
Filed under: Vreelandella stevensii
Lineage: Bacteria; Pseudomonadati; Pseudomonadota; Gammaproteobacteria; Oceanospirillales; Halomonadaceae
Description: partial 16S ribosomal RNA
Rfam family: Bacterial small subunit ribosomal RNA
Source: RNAcentral
CCUACGGGGCGCAGCAGUGGGGAAUAUUGGACAAUGGGCGAAAGCCUGAUCCAGCCAUGCCGCGUGUGUGAAGAAGGCCUUCGGGUUGUAAAGCACUUUCAGUGGGGAAGAAAGCCUUGGGGCUAAUACCCUCGAGGAAGGACAUCACCCACAGAAGAAGCACCGGCUAACUCCGUGCCAGCAGCCGCGGUAAUACGGAGGGUGCGAGCAUUAAUCGGAAUUACUGGGCGUAAAGCGCGCGUAGGCGGUCUGAUAAGCCGGUUGUGAAAGCCCCGGGCUCAACCUGGGAACGGCAUCCGGAACUGUCAGGCUAGAGUGCAGGAGAGGAAGGUAGAAUUCCCGGUGUAGCGGUGAAAUGCGUAGAGAUCGGGAGGAAUACCAGUGGCGAAGGCGGCCUUCUGGACUGACACUGACGCUGAGGUGCGAAAGCGUGGGUAGCAAACAGGAUUAGAUACCCGGGUAGUC